UACAGAGGGUGCAAGCGUUAAUCGGAAUUACUGGGCGUAAAGCGCGCGUAGGUGGUUUGUUAAGUUGGACGUGAAAUCCCCGGGCUCAACCUGGGAACUGCAUCCAAAACUGGCAAGCUAGAGUACGGUAGAGGGUGGUGGAAUUUCCUGUGUAGCGGUGAAAUGCGUAGAUAUAGGAAGGAACACCAGUGGCGAAGGCGACCACCUGGACUGAUACUGACACUGAGGUGCGAAAGCGUGGGGAGCGAACAGG
Molecule: ribosomal RNA, 253 nt
Filed under: uncultured bacterium
Lineage: Bacteria
Description: partial 16S ribosomal RNA
Rfam family: Bacterial small subunit ribosomal RNA
Source: RNAcentral